UCGCUCGAAGGGGGGGUCGCGGCGUAUCAGCUUGUUGGUGGGGUAAUGGGCUACCAAGUCGACGACGCGUAGCGGGUGUGAGAGGACGACCCGUCACAUUGGGACUGAGAUACGGCCCAGACUCCUACGGGAGGCAGCAGUGGGGAAUAUUGCGCAAUGGUCGAAAGACUGACGCAGCGACGCCGCCUGUGGGAGGAAGCCCCUAGGGGUGUAAACCACUGUCUGAAGAGAAGAACAGCGUGGAUUCGAUCAGGAUUCAUGUUUGACGGUACCUUCAGAGGAAGCGCCGGCUAACUCCGUGCCAGCAGCCGCGGUAAGACGGAGGGCGCGAGCGUAGUUCGGAAUUACUGGGCGUAAAGCGCGUGCAGGCGGCCCUUUAAGUCUUUUGUGAAACUCCGGGGCUCAACUCAGGAACGGCAAAGGAUACUGGGGGGCUAGAGACCGGUAGAGGCUAGUGGAAUUCCUGGUGUAGCGGUGGAAUGCGUAGAUAUCAGGAGGAACACCGGCGGCGAAGGCGA
RNAcentral lists this ribosomal RNA (518 nucleotides) under uncultured Alphaproteobacteria bacterium. RNAcentral describes it as "bacterial SSU rRNA". It matches the Rfam family "Bacterial small subunit ribosomal RNA", at positions 215 to 724 of the family's 1533-position model. Lineage: Bacteria; Pseudomonadati; Pseudomonadota; Alphaproteobacteria. The record is from RNAcentral.